GUGUCAGCAGCCGCGGUAAUACCAGCACCCCGAGUGGUCGGGAUGAUUAUUGGGCCUAAAGCAUCCGUAGCCGGUGUAACAAGUCCUCCGUUAAAUCCACCUGCUUAACAGGUGGGCUGCGGAGGAUACUGUUACACUAGGAGGCGGGAGAGGCGAGGGGUAUUCCACGGGUAGGGGUAAAAUCCUCUGAUCCGUGGAGGACCACCAGUGGCGAAGGCGCCUCGCCAGAACGCGCUCGACGGUGAGGGAUGAAAGCUGGGGGAGCAAACCGGAUUAGAUACCCGGGUAGUCCCAGCCGUAAACGAUGUAGGCUCGGUGAUGGACUGGCUCCGAGCCAGUCCAGUGCCGCAGGGAAGCCGUUAAGCCUACCGCCUGGGGAGUACGGCCGCAAGGCUGAAACUCAAAGGAAUUGGCGGGG
Molecule: ribosomal RNA, 418 nt
Filed under: uncultured prokaryote
Description: bacterial SSU rRNA
Rfam family: Archaeal small subunit ribosomal RNA
Source: RNAcentral